GGGUCCAUGAUGUGUACUUUAUGUUGCCUUGAGAAGCGAUGAUGACUUAAAUUUCACGUACAAUGGUAUGAUGCUGAGGCCC
RNAcentral lists this small nucleolar RNA (82 nucleotides) under Carlito syrichta (Philippine tarsier). RNAcentral's name for it is "Small nucleolar RNA SNORD115 (ENSTSYG00000033175.1)". It matches the Rfam family "Small nucleolar RNA SNORD115". From Rfam's summary of the family: HBII-52 is a member of the C/D class of snoRNAs, which contain the C (UGAUGA) and D (CUGA) box motifs. Lineage: Eukaryota; Metazoa; Chordata; Mammalia; Primates; Tarsiidae. The record is from Rfam by way of RNAcentral.